GCCGAAAUUGCUCAGUUAGGAGAGCGUUAGACUGAAUAUCUAAAAGUCCCUGGUUCGAUCCCGGGUUUCGGCA
RNAcentral lists this transfer RNA (73 nucleotides) under Cordylochernes scorpioides. Its description in RNAcentral is "tRNA-Phe". It matches the Rfam family "tRNA". From Rfam's summary of the family: Transfer RNA (tRNA) molecules are approximately 80 nucleotides in length. Their secondary structure includes four short double-helical elements and three loops (D, anti-codon, and T loops). The record is from RNAcentral. Lineage: Eukaryota; Metazoa; Arthropoda; Arachnida; Pseudoscorpiones; Chernetidae.